AACAGGACAAAAGCCUCGACGCUGCGCAAUUGUUACAGUAGCAGUCUUUCUGCUUCUGCAGGUUUCGACCAUGAUCCCCUCGUGUAGUAGGGGUCUGCGGAAGGAUCAUUG
Molecule: ribosomal RNA, 111 nt
Filed under: Coriandrum sativum (coriander)
Lineage: Eukaryota; Viridiplantae; Streptophyta; Magnoliopsida; Apiales; Apiaceae
Description: partial 18S ribosomal RNA
Source: RNAcentral